Long non-coding RNA from Alexandromys fortis (reed vole), 5364 nucleotides. RefSeq lists it as uncharacterized. NCBI's taxonomy places the organism in Eukaryota, Metazoa, Chordata, Mammalia, Rodentia, Cricetidae. The record is from RefSeq and is a predicted model, not a curated record. The transcript has 2 exons.
CUCGAGUUCCCGCAACGUCACCUCAGGGGCGCGGUGUAUGUAAAUUAUGUGCACGCCGAGGAUGCCCACACGUACACUUACCAUGCCGUUUAAGAAUGAUACCUACAUGAUGGCCUAGAUAUUUUUAGGGGGCACUAUGAGAACAAGCGAAAGUGAGAGAGAGAAAGCAUAAAACAGAAGACCGUAAGUUCAGAGUGGGGCGAUAUCGAUGGAGUCCUUGUACCCGGCAAGACUAACUCAUACUUACCUGGCAGGGGAGAUACCAUGAUCACGAAGGUGGUUUUCCCAGGGCGAGGCUUAUCCAUUGCACUCCGGAUGUGCUGACCCCUGCGAUUUCCCCAAAUGCGGGAAACUCGACUGCAUAAUUUGUGGUAGUGGGGGACUGCGUUCGCGCUCUCCCCUGGUAACAUUGUUACUAAAUGAGAGACUUAUUACUUUGCUACGUUGUUUGCUUAAUACCCUGUCGCUCAAUCUGUCUCAAAUAGGUUCUUUAUCACUUCCUGUUAAUGGUAAUCUCGCAGUUACAUUAAAACGAUAGUUGGUUGUAUUUAAAUUGUGAAGAGAUCAAUGUUUAAAGCAGUGUUUAGCUUUUUAUUUUUCUCCACUCCUACCCUCUUCCCGUGGUCUCCCUGCUCCAAAUUUACACAGGAGAUCUUUCUUGUCUUUUUCUACUUUCCAUGUAGAUUAGAUCCAUGUAUGUCUCUCUUAGGGUCCUCACUGUUGUCUAGGUUCUUUGGGAUUGUGAAUUGUAGGCUGGUUUUAUUUGCUUUGUGUCCAAAAGCUACUUAUGAGUACGUAAUGAUAUUUGCCUUUCUGGUUACCUCACUCAAUGUUUUCUAGCUCCAUCCAUUUACCUGCAAAAUUCAAGACGUCAUAAUUUUUUUCUGCUGUGUAGUACUCCGUUGUGUAAAUGUACCACAUUUUCCUGAUCCAUUCUCCGGUCAAGGGGCAUUUAGGUUGUUUCCAGGUUCAAGUAUGUCACUGGAUGGAGUCUUUGUUGCAAUGCUGCAAGGGUUCUGGGGCAUGUACCGAGCUCUGUUGACUUCUCCUUCAUGGUUGAUCGUGAUUUCUAUUUCAAUUUUCCUACUGACCGAGCCAAAACCUCCAAAUUCUCCUUUUUCACUGUCAUAGUGUGAAGCAUCAAACCGAGCAUCGUCACUGGGGAGCUGAACACUGGCUAUCGACAGGUGGUUUGGUUCAUCCGAUGUGUGUGUUCCCAGGACAAGUUGAUGAAUGCUGAAAUCUUUCCUCUCAGGCCUGGUAACAUCUGGAAGCCACUGGGCAGCUAAACUGGGCCACUCCAGGGCAUGAGUCGCCACCAAACCAUAAAGAAAAGAAGUGUUUUUCUUUCAUAUUUUGUACUCGUUGAUCACACGUUCUUCCACCGCGUCGUCAAAGGCAGCUUUCUUGUCAGCCAUGGCGGCAAGCGAGCCAGGACAGGUUGGGGGGAAUCCUGGGGUCGUACGUUACAGGAGGGACGGGGAGGCAACAGUCAUCAGUGUUUUUGAUCUUGGCCAUUCUUACAGAUGGAAUCUCAGAGUUGUUUUGAUUUGCAUUUCUCUGCUGGCUAAGGAUGUUGAGCAUUUCCUUAAGUGUCUUUCAGCCAUUUUAGAUUCCUCUGUUGAGAGUUCUCUGUUUAGGUCUGCCCUCCCCCUUUUUAUUGGAUUAUUUGUUCUUUUAAUAACCAAUUUCUUGAGUUCUUUGUAUAUUUUGGAGAUCAGACCUCUGUCUGAAGUGGGGUAGGUGAAGAUCUUUUCCCAUUCUGUAGGCUGCCGUUUUGUAUUGUUGACCAUGCCCUUUGCUUUACAGAAGCUUUUCAGUUUCAGAAGGUCCCGUUUAUUAAUUGUUUCUCUCAGUGUCUAUGCUACUGGGGUUAUAUUUAGGAAGUGGUUCCCUGUGCCAAUGCGUUCAAGUGUACUUUCAACUUUCUCUUAUAUGAGGUGUAGUGUGGCUGGCUUUAUGUUGAGGUCUUUGAUCCAUUUGGAAUUGAGUUUUGUGCAUGGUGAUAGAUAUGGGUCUAUUUUCAUUCUUCUACAGGUUGAUAUCCAGUUAUACCAGCACCAUGGUUGAAUAUGCUUUCUUUUUUCCAUUUGAUAUUUUUUGCUUCUUCGUCAAAAAUCAGGUGUUUGUAGGUGUGUGGAUUGAUAUCCAGUCUUCAAUUCGGUUCCAUUGUUCCUCCUGUUUUUAUGCCAAUACCUGGUCUCAGUUUAAUUUUGGUAAGUGAUAUUUAUCCAGAUAAUUGUCCAUUUCCUCUAAGUUUUACAAUUUUGUGGAGUACAGGUUUUCAAAAUAUGACCUAAUGAUUCUCUGAAUUUCCUCCAUGUCUGUCCUUAUGUCCCCCUUUUCGUUUCUGAUUUUGUUAGUUUGGAUAUUCUCUCUCUCUCUCUCUCUCUCUCUCUCUCUCUCUCUCUCUCUCUCUCUGCCUUCUGGUUUGGAUAAAGGCCUGUCUACUUUGUUUAUUUUCUCAAAGAACCAACUCUUUGUCUCAUUGAUUCUUUGUAUUGUUUUCUUUGUUUCUAUUUUGGUGAUUUCAGCUCUGUUUGAUUAUUUCCCUCCCGUCUAGUCCUCCUGGGUGAGUUUGAUUCUUUUUGUUCUAGAGUUUUCAAAUGUUCUGCUAACUCACUAGUGUGGUAGUGUUUUUCCAGCUUCUUUGUGUAGUUAUUUAGUACUAUGAACUUUCCUCUUAACACUGGUUUCAUUCUCAUAAAUUUGAGUAUGUUAUGUGGUCAUUUUCACUGAAUUUUUUAGGAAGUCUUUAAUUUCUUUCUUGACCCAUUGAUGAUUCAGGUGAGCAUUGUUGAAUUUCCAUGUGUUUGUGGGCUUUCCUGAAUUACUGUUGCUGUUGACUUCUAAUUUUAAGCCAUGGUGAUCUGAUAAGGUACAUGGGUUAUCCCAGUUUUUUGUAUCGGUUGAGGAUGUGGUCAGUUUUUGAGAAGGUCCCAUGAGGUGCUGAGAAGAAGGUAUAUUCUUUUCUGUUUGGAUGGAAUGUUCCAUAGAUGUCUGAAGUCACAGAAGUCCAUCUGAGUCAUAUCAUCUGUUAGUUCCCUUAUUUCUCCCUUAAUUUUCUGUCUGACAGACCUGUCCAGUGGUGAGAGUGGAGUGCUGAAGUCUUAGUGUGUGGGAUUUAAUGUGGGAUUUAAGCUCUAGAAGUAUUUCUUUCACUUAUGAGGGGGCCUUUGUAUCUGAGGCGUAGAUGUUCAGUAUUAAGGUUUCCUCUUGCUGGAUUUUUCCUGUGACUAACACGAAAUGUCCUUCUUUGUCUCUUUUGAUUGAUUUAUUUUGAAAUCUGUUUUGUUAGAUAUUAGGAUAACUUCACCAGCUUGUUUCUUUGGUCAAUUUGAUUGGAAAAAAAAAAUUUUCCCAACCUUACUCUGAGGCGAUGUCUGUCUUUGAGGUUGAGGUGUGUUUCUUGUAUGCAGCAGAAGGAUGGAUCUUGCUUUCACAUCCAAUCUGCUAGCCUAUGUCUUCUUAUAGGUGAGUUGAGUCCAUUUAUAUUAAGGCGUAUUAAUGACCAGUGACUGUUAGCUCCUGUUAUUUUAGUUUUCGUUGUUUGUGAUGUUAUUGUGUGUGUUUUUCCCUUCUUUAGGAUUUGUUGCUGUGAGAUCAUCUAUUGUCUGUUGUGGAUGUAGCCAACUUCCUUGAGUUGGAGUUUUCCUUCUAGUACUGUGUGUAGGGCUGGGUUUGUGGGAGAGGUAUUGGUGAAAUCUGGUUCUGCCUUGGAAUAUCUUGUUUUGUCCGUUUUAUGGUGACUGAAAGUUUUGCUGGGUAUAGUAGUUUGGGCUGGCACCCGUGGUCUCUUGAUGUCUGCAUAACGCUUGACCCGGUCCUUCUGGCUUUUAUCAUUUCAACUGAGAAGUCAGGUGUACUUCUGAUAGGUCUGUCUUUAUAUGUUACUUGGCCUUUUUACUUUGCAGCUCUUAAAAUUCUUUCUUUAUUCUGUAUGUUUAGUGUUUUGAUUAUUAUGUGGUGAGGGGACAGCAUCCAUGUCAGCUGGCUCACAAACCAGCGGCUUCCCUCCUCUGGCCUCUGAAGGUGCCUGAAGUUCGGCCCUGGAACCCAGGAUCACUGGCACCUGGGAGAAGUCGCCUCCUGGAUUUCAUGACUGAGUAUCCGCACGGAGCCCCUACCCCACUUAACAUUUUUAAAUCUUAUUUUACGUGUAUUCACGUGUGACAUACCACAACCUGUGCGCACGAACCUGUGCAUGUCCGAAGAGGACGUCGGAUCCGGUGGAGCUGUGAGCUGUGCAUAUCGGGUCGGAGAUGCUGUGAGCUGCCAGGUGAGCGCUGGGCACCGAACCCCGGUUCUCUGCAGGAGCCGCCAGCGCUCUAAGCUGCCGAGUCAUUUCUCCGGCCCCACUGCUCCACUUUCGUGCCUUCUAUGUCUGGUUUAUGGGUUUGUGUCCUCGUUUGCGGGUCUGUUGGUUCUGAGACAAGAUCUCACUGGGUAGCCCUGGCUGGCCUGUACUGGAGAUGUGUAGACCAUCCAUACCUAGCCCUGAACUCAGAGCGAUCCGGAACCGCCAGAGUGCUGGGGUGGAUUAAAGGGGCCGUGCCGGCGAGCAGCGGGUCAGCUUCACGCGAGUCAGUGCCAGCUGGGAGGAGGGUUGAAGCUCGGUUGAGAAAGGACGGGCUGAAGGCCGGAAGCCUGAAAGACGGAAGGCCCAACCAAAGACGAGAAAGCCCGGCACGAGCAAAUCCCCGAGUGUAGUGGACGACGGCCCCCAGCCAGGAUCCUAAGUAUAGGGUCAUCCUAGGCUACAAAGUGCGGUCGGGGAGACCCCCGUCGUCCUCGCGGUCGCCCGAGGGGGAGAUUUUCCACGUAGCCCAGACUGGCCUUAAACAGCUGCCUAACAGGUACUCAAACAGAUAAAGUAUAAAUCAACAGGUAAAGUAUAUAAUAAUCAACAAAUACAGUAUAUUAAUUAUAAUUCAGCUAUGGCAAGAGUAUGUAUAUUAAAUGUAAAACUUAUUCUACAACAGUUUUAUAAAAAAUGCUGUUUAUGGCUAAACCUUCCCAGUUUUGCUAGUUAAGAUAUUAAACUCUUAAUUUAGAACAGUAGCCUGUCUGGUAUAAGAGGACAGGAUGACAUCUGAAAAAAUGGUUUGACAGAAUAUUGACUAUGAUGAAUGUUUCUUAUACUAAAUAAUAGAUUCAUUGAUAAUUUUAAGAUGGAUUCCUCGACAAUUGCCUUUCCUCAAUUCAAAGGCCAAAAACGAUGAUCUUUUCCCAGAUCAUUGCCUGUAUUUUGCUAAUGUUAUAGCAAAAAAAAUCCCUUACAGGAUUUUGUGCAAAAAUUUUACAAAUGGUUCUUUCAAUGGAGGAACUGCAUAUAUGGUUAAUGGUAAUAAUAAUAAUAAAAAU